Molecule: ribosomal RNA, 478 nt
Filed under: uncultured bacterium
Lineage: Bacteria
Description: partial 16S ribosomal RNA
Rfam family: Bacterial small subunit ribosomal RNA
Source: RNAcentral
GACGAACGCUGGCGGCGUGCUUAACACAUGCAAGUCGAACGGUAAGGCCCUUCGGGGUACACGAGUGGCGAACGGGUGAGUAACACGUGGGUGAUCUGCCCUGCACUUCGGGAUAAGCCUGGGAAACUGGGUCUAAUACCGGAUAGGACUCCGGACUGCAUGGUCUGGGGUGGAAAGCUUUUGCGGUGUGGGAUGGGCCCGCGGCCUAUCAGCGUGUUGGUGGGGUGAUGGCCUACCAAGGCGACGACGGGUAGCCGGCCUGAGUGGGUGACCGGCCACACUGGGACUGAGAUACGGCCCAGACUCCUACGGGAGGCAGCAGUGGGGAAUAUUGCACAAUGGGCGCAAGCCUGAUGCAGCGACGCCGCGUGAGGGAUGACGGCCUUCGGGUUGUAAACCUCUUUCAGCAUCGACGAAGCGAAAGUGACGGUAGGUGCAGAAGAAGGACCGGCCAACUACGUGCCAGCCGCCGCAGUAA